This 451-nucleotide ribosomal RNA is filed under the name uncultured bacterium. RNAcentral's name for it is "partial 16S ribosomal RNA". It matches the Rfam family "Bacterial small subunit ribosomal RNA", at positions 354 to 796 of the family's 1533-position model. The record is from RNAcentral.
GUGGGGAAUAUUGGACAAUGGGGGGAACCCUGAUCCAGCCAUGCCGCGUGUGUGAAGAAGGCCUUUUGGUUGUAAAGCACUUUAAGCGAGGAGGAGGCUACCGAGAUUAAUACUCUUGGAUAGUGGACGUUACUCGCAGAAUAAGCACCGGCUAACUCUGUGCCAGCAGCCGCGGUAAUACAGAGGGUGCAAGCGUUAAUCGGAUUUACUGGGCGUAAAGCGCGCGUAGGUGGCCAAUUAAGUCAAAUGUGAAAUCCCCGAGCUUAACUUGGGAAUUGCAUUCGAUACUGGUUGGCUAGAGUAUGGGAGAGGAUGGUAGAAUUCCAGGUGUAGCGGUGAAAUGCGUAGAGAUCUGGAGGAAUACCGAUGGCGAAGGCAGCCAUCUGGCCUAGUACUGACACUGAGGUGCGAAAGCAUGGGGAGCAAACAGGAUUAGAAACCCCUGUAGUCC